Molecule: non-coding RNA, 1622 nt
Organism: Arvicanthis niloticus (Nile rat)
Lineage: Eukaryota; Metazoa; Chordata; Mammalia; Rodentia; Muridae
Source: RefSeq, a predicted model, not a curated record
UGGAAGAUCCGCUUCUGCUUUCGGGAGCACAUCCCGUUUCCCAUAGUCCCUCCUGCGCCCCGCGCUGCGGCGGCGGGAGCCGUCGUGUCCUCAGUCCUGGGCUAUGUCGGACAGCUCAGCAGCGGCCACCGGGAGAAGUAGCUGGACUCGGCAUGAGCAGAAGACGCGAGACACAAAAGCAGGACCAGAGGGAAAGAGGCGGCCGCUCAGCCCCCGCGGGCGGCGGGGCGCCAGGUCAUCGACGCCACCCGGCCAGCAGCCACCAAACUUCUGCGAUGUCUGAUCUCCACGAGUGGCUGGGCCCGCGUGGAGUCCCUUUGCAUACUUCAGAGCCCGCUGCACCUCGCUACGGUUCCCCGCACGCUGCCGGCUCGGUUUUCCCUACUCCCCACUUUUUGGCCUCGCUGUCCCCACCGUGAGUCCCCGCCCCUCGCGCCGGCUCCUGCUGCUGGACUUUGUCACUACAACGGGUAGGGGACGCGCGCCCAACAAAGGGACCUGGCUCCCUGCGGCGUCCUCUCGCAAGGUCCCCCAGGGAUGGUGAAGAGAUGGGGAACUGGUUGGUGUGGUUGGGUUAAGGGGGGCGGUGGGCCGGUGUCACUGAUCUGGCAGCUCCAGCCGCCCGCCACCUCCCACCCAACUUACGUGUCACCCACGGCCCCGCUAUCAUGGCCAACGGGAUUCCGGGAGGAAGUCCCACUCGGGCUCCCUGCUCAUUGGGCCCGCGCAAGCCGCCGCUCCCUCCUUUCGGGGAGCUAAUGCUGGGCUCCAUUGGACGCCAGCUUUGUCUGUCCCGCCCCGGCCGCGCCUUCCCUCUCAGCUCCGGGCAGGCUCUGAGCUCCGUGGGCCGGGCAGCCGCCUGGCGCCUGGGUGCGCCCACGUGGAGCCCGGAUGGGUGCGGAGAGGCGGAGGAACCGGGUUGGGAGGGCUAGGGACUUGUCUUGGCCUGAGGCUUGGUGAUCAUGGAGCACGUGUGCGCAUGUGAGUGCAUGUAUGUCCCAGCACUUGGAAUGCACGUGGAGGGAGAGUACAGCGCUUAUGCACACCAACAACCGCAAAGCAGCCAUGAAUGCACUCUGCUUAACCCUGCUCAUUUCUUAUCCAACAUAAUGAGCUCAGGUUAAGAACAUUAUGUUCUUUGCCCAUUCUCUCAACGGCUGCCUACAGAGUUUUUUCUCAUUAGAGGCAUUAGGCUAUGUGCAAGCUUACCAAAGAUGGUAGAAAGUAAGCUGGGACCCUGAAGCUCACUUGACUGGCUACGUGGGGUGGGGAAAUCACUCUGUUGGCAGAGGGAAAGAAAUGAUCUCAUGUUUCCUCUGGCUGCAAAUGGAAUAAUUUAAAAACAAAUCUUACAGGCUGAAAUGAGUAUGUAUUCAUUUUGCUAUGUGUAUUUCUCUUAAUGGUGGCAGAAAAACAUCAGUUACAUUUUUACAUUUUCAAGGCCAACAAAACCCACUAGGCUUAACAAAAAGUUAGAAAAGCGUAAUAACGCCAAACCACUUCAAAGAAAUUCACAGUGCAUUUGUUUCUUCAAUGUAAUAAGAGUGAGUGUGGAAUUGAGGUUAUACAUAAAUUAUAAUUUUGUUUCUCCUCUUGACCUAAAUUCUAAGGGAAAUAAAUUA